AACGGCCAUACCAUGCUGAAUAUACCGGUUCUCGUUAGAUCACCGAAGUCAAGCAUCAUUGGGCUUGGUCAGUACUUGGGUGGGUGACCACCUGGGAACACCGCGUGCCGUU
Molecule: ribosomal RNA, 112 nt
Filed under: Caerostris darwini
Lineage: Eukaryota; Metazoa; Arthropoda; Arachnida; Araneae; Araneidae
Source: RNAcentral